AUACGGAGGGAGCGAGCGUUAAUCGGAAUUACUGGGCGUAAAGCGCGCGUAGGCGGUUUGGUCAGUCGGAUGUGAAAGCCCCAGGCUCAACCUGGGAAUGGCAUUCGAUACUGCCUGACUAGAGUAUGGUAGAGGGAAGUGGAAUUUCCGGUGUAGCGGUGAAAUGCGUAGAUAUCGGAAGGAACACCAGUGGCGAAGGCGACUUCCUGGGCCAAUACUGACGCUAAGGUGCGAAAGCGUGGGGAGCAAACAGGAUUAGAAACCCCGGUAGUCC
RNAcentral lists this ribosomal RNA (274 nucleotides) under uncultured bacterium. RNAcentral's name for it is "partial 16S ribosomal RNA". It matches the Rfam family "Bacterial small subunit ribosomal RNA", at positions 523 to 796 of the family's 1533-position model. The record is from RNAcentral.